AUGGGCAGCCGUGUCGGCGGCGUAAUAGGUGGGCUCGCUGGUUACGCCGUAGGGAGCUCCGUUGGCAACGGAGCGCCAGAUUACCGCGGCUAUAACCCCAUGGGAGACUAUGGUGGCGGCGGCUCUCCCGGCCCUGGAGCUGGAGGGUUUGGCGGCCGCUAACCUUCGAUAAUGACAGAACGGAAACGCGGCGAGGUUUUUGCUUUGCCGCGUUUUAGC
Molecule: small RNA, 219 nt
Filed under: Sinorhizobium meliloti 2011
Lineage: Bacteria; Pseudomonadati; Pseudomonadota; Alphaproteobacteria; Hyphomicrobiales; Rhizobiaceae
Description: putative ncRNA
Source: RNAcentral